Molecule: unclassified non-coding RNA, 483 nt
Filed under: uncultured Chaetomiaceae
Lineage: Eukaryota; Fungi; Ascomycota; Sordariomycetes; Sordariales
Description: sequence contains ITS1, 5.8S rRNA gene, ITS2
Rfam family: 5.8S ribosomal RNA (bases 173-326)
Source: RNAcentral
CAGAGUUGCAAAACUCCCUAAACCAUUGUGAACGUUACCUUCAAACCGUUGCUUCGGCGGGCGGCCCGGGUCCGCCCGGUGCCCCCUGGCCCCCUAGCGGGGCGCCCGCCGGAGGAAAACCCAACUCUUGAUUAUUAUGGCCUCUCUGAGUCUUCUGUACUGAAUAAGUCAAAACUUUCAACAACGGAUCUCUUGGUUCUGGCAUCGAUGAAGAACGCAGCGAAAUGCGAUAAGUAAUGUGAAUUGCAGAAUUCAGUGAAUCAUCGAAUCUUUGAACGCACAUUGCGCCCGCCAGUAUUCUGGCGGGCAUGCCUGUUCGAGCGUCAUUUCAACCAUCAAGCCCCAGGCUUGUGUUGGGGACCUGCGGCUGCCGCAGGCCCUGAAAACCAGUGGCGGGCUCGCUGUCACACCGGGCGUAGUAGAUUUUAUCUCGCUCUGGGCGUGCUGCGGGUUCCGGCCGUUAAAAAACCCUUUUAACCCAAG